Molecule: transfer RNA, 74 nt
Filed under: Polyangiaceae bacterium
Lineage: Bacteria; Pseudomonadati; Myxococcota; Polyangiales; Polyangiaceae
Description: tRNA-Gln
Rfam family: tRNA
About the family: Transfer RNA (tRNA) molecules are approximately 80 nucleotides in length. Their secondary structure includes four short double-helical elements and three loops (D, anti-codon, and T loops). Further hydrogen bonds mediate the characteristic L-shaped molecular structure. tRNAs have two regions of fundamental functional importance: the anti-codon, which is responsible for specific mRNA codon recognition, and the 3' end, to which the tRNAs corresponding amino acid is attached (by aminoacyl-tRNA synthetases). tRNAs cope with the degeneracy of the genetic code in two manners: having more than one tRNA (with a specific anti-codon) for a particular amino acid; and 'wobble' base-pairing, i.e. permitting non-standard base-pairing at the 3rd anti-codon position.
Source: RNAcentral
UCCGGGAUCGUCUAGCGGAAGGACGGCGGACUCUGAAUCCGUCAACGCAGGUUCGAAUCCUGCUCCCGGAUCCG